Molecule: long non-coding RNA, 5453 nt
Filed under: Cervus hanglu yarkandensis (Yarkand deer)
Lineage: Eukaryota; Metazoa; Chordata; Mammalia; Artiodactyla; Cervidae
Description: lncRNA (ENSCHYG00000018789.1)
Source: RNAcentral
UGUCCAUUUUAUUGGCAUAUCAUUACCCAUAGUAGUCUCUUAUGAUCUCCCCCCCCGCAAAUUUUCCUUACUUAAAAUAAAAAAAAAAAGAAGUAUUUAUUUGGCUGCAUUUGGUCUUCAACUGUGGUGCAUGUGGCACGAGGGAUCUACCAGGGAUGGGACCUGAGUCCCUUGCAUUGCAAGGCAGAGUCAUAAUCACUGGACCACUAGGGAAGUCCCUCCUGUGAUGUCUUGUAUUUCUGUGGUGUCAGUUGUAACUUCUCCUUUUUCAUUUCCGAUUUUAUUGAUUUGGGCUCUCUCUUUUUUUUUCUCUGUGAGUUCGGUUAAAGGUUUAUGAAUUUUAUUCUUUUCAAAGAACCAGCUUUUAGUUUCAUUGAUCUUUUCUUUCUUUUAGUUUUUAUUUCAUUUAUUUCUGCUCUGAUCUGUAUAAUUUCUUUCCUUCUACCAUCUUAGGAUUUUCGUUGUUCUUUCUCUAGUUGCUUUGGGAAUAGGGCAGCCUUGUCUUAAAAAAAAAAAAAAAUCACUGGGCUCAAGAAAGAGACCUAUGAUUGCUACCAAACCUACCGGGGACCGUUUACUGAAGUCUCUUCCCAGGAUUUUGUGCUUUGGGAUCACUUCAUGAUUUUACGCCAUAAAUCAUAUAAUUCAUGUCUUUGGUCCUUGGUUGACAGCCGUUCUUCCCUCCCCUGCUGACUGUCACCUAACCACCCACUCUCCCCCAACAUAAUAUUGUUGCAUGAAUGUCCCUGUGGAUGAAUGGAUGGAGAAAAGGAGAAGAAUGGGAUGGAACGAAGGAACUUAGAAGCUGCCAAGAUGCCUGGAAACGCAGAAAUUCUCAUGAUUUGCAAAUUUAUUGACUGAGAAGGUACUGGGAUUGGGAGGCAGUUGUAUAGAAACCAGGGAGGGCAAACUGCAGAACAAGACGCAGCUCCAGAGCUCACUGGCUUCUUCUGGUGGAUUCAGAUGUGAAGGGCGGAGAAACCUCAGGGCAAUAUCAUGAGAGCGGUAAGCCCAUCCAGCCCACGGAGAACACCUCCUGCUUCUUCGUCUCCGUGGUGUCCAGGGGGGCCUUACUUGCCUGGCCAGGUAGGCGCCUGCUUCUGCUGGGUCUGGUGGCAGACUGGGACGCCCUUGCCACCCCCGGAACCACCCCCGGAAGAGCCGCCGCCGCCGCAGCCGGAACCGCUGCCGCCCCCACCGCUAGAGAAGCAGCCGCCGCCGCCCCCGGAGGAGCCUCCCACGCAGCCGGAUCCACUGCCGCCCCCACCGCUGGAAACGCAGCCGCUGACCCCGGAGGAGCCGCCGCCGGAGGAGUAGCAGACGGUACUGGAGGAGCCGCCGCCGGAGGAGUAGCCUCCGCAGCCGGAGCUGCCGCCGCCCCCGGAAUACUUGAUACUUCCACCAGAGCCACCGUCGCCGCCGCCAGAGUAGCCGCCGCCGCAGCCGGAGCUGCCGCCGCCUCCAGAAUACUUGACACUUCCACCCGAGCCGCCGCCGCCACCCCCGGAGCCGCCGCAGCUACCGGAGCCGCCGCCGCCGCCGCUGUAGAAGACGCCGCCGCAGCCGCCGCCGCCGCCGCCGCCGCCGGAGGUUUUCCCACAGCCCACUGGGGGCUGAGGGGUGGGCUGCUUUUUCUGGUGAGACAUCUUGUUUAAGGAGGAACGGAACCCUGGAAGGAGAGCAGAGAGCGUCAGUGGACCAGCUGCAAGAGGAUGCGGCGGCAGAGGCAGCUGCAUCCAUGGAAACGUCCAUCAUCCUCUGAGCAGCACUGCCUCGGCCAGGCUUGAUGCUCUUUCUGAUCGCAUUGGAAAGAGCACUCAGCUGGGACUCCUGGGUUAGUGCUUUUAGAAAAGGGUUGUGUUUCCCUUGCGAAAGUCUUUACCAAGUUUUAAAUAGCCCACUUAGUGGUACCCAUUUCUCUUUCUUUCCCAGCUUUGCUUCAGGCCUCUGCUGUGUGAUCUCUGGGCAAAUGACCCACACAUUUUCUGUUUCCUCAUUUCCUGUAAAAUGAGAUGGGUCGAGUAUUUCACUUCUUAGUUCUCCGAUCCCAACACUGAAUGCAAAUAGAAAAUUACCACAAACCGCCACCUAGGGUAGGGGAUUUUAUCCACUCCUGGCACAACAGAGGGUGGUUUGUUCCAGUGCCAGAGGGCUGUUGCAUCCCAUUCUUUGCAAAAAAGAAUUAGUUUAAACUCUUGGUCUGUUCCAGUGACCUCAGUCAUGAUCACCUACCAGUUACCAGAAAAGGUAGGCUCCCCCCAUUGUCCUGUCUGGAAACAGGAGAAAGGAUCCCAAUGAUCCUUUGGACUAGCAUCUCUGACUAGGAGAUAUCAAGCAAAGCUUGGUAAGGAGGCAAGCUGGGUUGAGGGGACCAGGAAUUAUGUCCAGCAUCUCACAAGUCAUUUCCUUCUCAGAACAUCUUGUGUAAAACAGGCAAUGGGUUCUUAUGACUGCUAAAAUCUCCCCUUCUGCAGCAUCCUCUGAAUCAUUCUUCCUAUUCUCUGAAAGUACACUCAACCUCUCCUCCUUACAAGUUCACAAAGUCCAUCCAGUCCAUCCACAGGCUGUCUGGGACAGUCUCUGCAGGAUGCACUUCUAUGGCAGAGACAGGGAAUGUCUCUUACAGGGGUGCCAGAGAGACAGGAGAUAGUCUUGUCUUUGUGGCAUUUACAUUUUGGCCAGAUCAGAAACACCGUCUGUCCAGCAGUAGCUCAGCUCCAUUUCCUGUCUGAAGUCCCUCUGAAUAUGGAUGCAGUUGGAAGAGCAGAGGUCCCGUAGGUCCCAAAGGGGAAAGAGGCCUUGCCCACCUGUCCCCUGGUCCACAUAGCCCACGCAAGCCUGGGCAAGACCAACUUGGAAGAGGAGAGCCAGUAGAACACACACUUACCCAAAGCACCAGGAAGGAUGAGUGAGGAGAGGAGAUGCUGGCUGUGUGAGGAGCACUGGAGCUUCUGAGGUUUUAUACUUUCUGAUGAGUUCUGACUCAUCAGCUAUCGAUCUGGACCAGCCUUUCAUGUUUGGACUCAGUUACGUGACCUUUGUCUGUCACCCCACCUCCCUGUGAUUGUAGUCAUGGGGUGACCCAUUCACGAAGAUUUUGGCAUUCUUGAGAUGGGCAGCCUCCUGUAUGACCGGCCCCUUCUCUGAUUCAACUGUGAAGCAGGCUGGCUAGCAGGGAUGGUCAGCCAGAGUGGAUGUUAGACAUUGUUUUCAAAACUUCUGGCAUGGGGCCCAUGCCAUCACCAGAGGGCUGUGCUUCAGGAAUAGGUCUCAGACUCUUCAAGCAACCUAAGAGAGUCCCACUGGAGUUCUCAGUCUUUGGUCCAAGAAGUAGAAACUUCCAUAUCCCACUCUUUGGCUCCUGGUCCUAUUGCUUGGAACCUCUUAGAAUUUGAGAGAGAUCCUGUUUCUUCUUUGCCAAGUUUCUCCCCCGGGGUUUCACAUGUGCUUCACUGGGAUAUUCCUGUCUUGUUUCCUGUCUAGAGAGUGUGUUAGCACCUAGCACCCAGUUCUGGGUUGCACAAUAUGGACAGCGCCAUAAGUAAUGGGGCACUGGUAGGAAUUUUGAUUUACUCCUAAAGACAAUGAAUGUCUAAAAAUACUGAUCUUCACUGUUGACUUUCCUUGUAGAAGAACAAGCUAAAGAGAUAGACCCUGUGGUUCUUCCCACCAUGGCCAUUCAGCUCUGGGGUCUUGUCUUGUGUGGUAACACUGACCUCAGUCUAAGAGGCAGCCGUGGAAUGGAAUGGACUUGAGAUUAGGUGCCUGGGUUUGGGUGCUGCCUCUGCUACUUGCCAGAUGUAUCACCUUGGGUAAAGUCAGAGUACCUUAUGCAGUGCCUACACACUGGCGGCGCUUAGUAAGCAUUUGUUGAUUAUUGAACAAACUUUCUGAUACUCAGUUACCUUGUCUAUCAAAUAAGAAUGGUACUAGCUGUUUUACUGACGCUGCGAGGGAGUCCACAGAUGGCUCGAGGCAAGCUCUUAUCUAAGAAAAUAACUUGGAAAUUCCUGGCUGACCCUGGACCAGUAGCAUCAACUCUGUGUAUGAGGAACAGCAUUUUGUCCUCUUCUUUCAUCAUUGGAACUCAACUGCUAUUGUUUCAGAUAUCACAUUUGAAGUUAGUUCCACCCAGAUGUGUGUUGACAUGAGAGCUCCAAUAAUAAAUUGACGGUUAAUUAUGGUGGAGUUUUAAUGAUCUGCAUGAUCUGAUUAGACUGCGGCCUUCAGAAACUUGUGGCACUAGUUUUAGUUUGGAGAGCAUGAACCCAGGUGAACCCAGGAGGAGUCCAGGUGCUCCCCUCCUGAGAGAAUAGCCAGGAGGGAGAAGUCUGGAUCUGUUGGAGAAAGCAUGUUUCAACUUGAAGCUGAGGCAUCAUGGAGGUUUUGGAGGGGAAAAAAGGCUCCAACUAGCUGUGGGUAUAAUAAAAGACGCAUAAUAAAGGACAGCUUUAUUUUUCUGGGUUUGCUGGAGAAGAGGAGAAGAUGUGGACCAUGGUUCCCAUACUGAUCUGUGGACCCAUGUUGGCUCAUUAUUGUGUGUACCCUAGUCCUUAGGAAAAUGUAAGUAAAAAGAUGUCAGCAGACUCUUUGUGAGAAGGAAAGUCUAAUUCAGAAAUCAUGAGCCUCCUACCUUUUUUGGGCGUAUAUAAAGACUUCAUUUCUUUUAAAAGAGAUGUUGACAAGAGGUCCAAGUUGUUUCUUUCAUGUCCUUAUUUGUCAAAAUGAGAGUUUGGCUAUCAUAUUAUUUGGUUAUCACAGUUUUUUUUGAGGGAGAUGUUACUUCUUUAUGAAAUUCUAAAGUUUGGGAAUCUCAAGUGCAGGUGACUCCAAAGAGCUAAUAAUCUUGAAAUUGCCUGUGUUAGUUUGGAGCAAUUAUGUUCUUAAGGGAAAGAUAUGAUAUUUUCUUUCUAUCAAGUUUAAUAUCCUAAUGCUUUAUUCAUUAAUCCAGCCAACUGUUUUGCCAAAAGCUUCAACUUUUGUUUCAGUUUUGAAAGAUUUGUUAACAAAAGAAACUACUUGUUAAACAAAAAUAAACAAUUUCAAUAUUUAAUAGAGAAUUAUCUAACUUACUUUCAAUAUGCAAUCAUUAAAAGAAAACACUAGAGGAAUGUAAUAGCACAUACAUCAGCUAACUGGGACCAAAUAGCACCCAGAUUCAAACAGUGCUGAAAAGUCCCACAUAACAGCAAUCUGGAGUCUCAGUUGGAAAAAGAUACUGGAUGAUGCAUCCACCCUAAAGGGUGAGACUUCAAAAUUGCAAUUUUUGGGGUCUCGCUUAUAAUUUCAGGCCACAAACUGAUACUGUCGUCAGUUUGUGAACAAAUUGAAGCUCUGGUUUCACAUUAAUCUUUUUUUUUUUUACAGUACUGUUUGUUUUAUCUUGUGAGUCAGAGGAUUUUGUUAAGCCCCGGGUGUGGUUGGCCAGACCUCCUCCAGGGGCUCAAGAAUUC